Long non-coding RNA from Thunnus maccoyii (southern bluefin tuna), 1697 nucleotides. RefSeq lists it as uncharacterized. The record is from RefSeq and is a predicted model, not a curated record. NCBI's taxonomy places the organism in Eukaryota, Metazoa, Chordata, Actinopteri, Scombriformes, Scombridae. The transcript has 2 exons.
CCGUUUCGAAGACAUUUCAAGACUCCUCAAAAAUUAUUCUAUCCAACCUGUGAAAAAAUAGUAGCUCUCCUGCUCCACGAGACAAUUUUUCGAUUCAUUCACAAAUGCGCGGCUAUGAUGCACAACUAUUUUUUUGAACCAAAGAAAGAUGGCGGCGUGAAGCAAGAUAUUUUUGUCGAGAUUGUGCUAAACUGGAUCAGCCAGAGGGACGAACUAGCAUUUCACAUUUUUGCUGUCCCACGAAAUGGGAAAGGGGGUGGGUCACUUCCGGCUACCAUGUUUUCUGUUCUGGUUGAAAAGUCUAUUAAAUAAGGAAACACAUUGGUGAAAGCUAAACUAAUUAAUCAUGUGUGUCUACCUGCUACUUACAUGAGUUUUACAUAACUUAACUAUAAUCAUCAUGAGUUUGCUUUUGUGUAUGUGUGGUUGUGGUAGAAUCCACCAAGAAUCAAACAUGACCAAAUCAUUUGUUCCACUGGCUUUUUCAACAGGAUGUUUUUCUCUGUCUGGAACGGUAUUUGCUUUAUUUCUGUACUGUAGCCUAUCAUUUACAGAACUAUUCUAGCUUCAGUCUUUUGCUUUAUGCUGCACCAUUAACACAUCACAAUGCAUGACAUUUCAAUGAAAGACAUGAAAAUUUUAUUUUUCUCUGUGGCAAUCUUAAGGCCUAUAAUGAACCACAAGAAAUAAUAAAACAUUCUGUUAGAUGACCAAGGUACCAAAAUAAUUAACAUAGAAUAGAGCACAGAGCAUUUAAAAAAAAAAAAAACUAAAUAGUCAAGUGUCCUCACUCAAAAUGACGGAUCUAUCCAUUUAACAUUUUUUGAAAAAUGUAGUUAGUCUCAAUGAUAAAACUUUAUUCCACAAUUGCACCUCUAGGGGGAGGCCAGGUGCAGUGCAUGUAAACACUUCUAAUGCAAGUCCAGCUGCAACUGUGGAAUGGUUAAUUGGUUAAGCCAAUUACCUCAAUUACUUAAGUCAUGUAUGCUGUUUAUAAUUGGUACCAGCAAAUUGUGUUUAGUGGUGACACAUAUUGGCUUUAGUGACUCAAGUGAAUACAGAGAGCGGGAUCCUUGAUACACUGUAGAGCUCAUAUAGCAGGUUGAGCACCAAAAAAAAGGGUAAGUGUGCAAUGCCAAGAUGUUGUAGCUGAAAUAAACACACCACAGGCAGAAUGUCACAUUUUUGCACUCUUUGUUCGUACGUUAAGUUUUUCAGCAACACAUUUUUGACAUUGAUACAGUGCAAAUGCACAAUAGCACAACAGACACCAUUAAGGAUACAUACUAUUUUUUAAAAGUCAAUACAGCAGAUUUUGACAAUUUGCAUGUUUGAUUUUUUUUCUUUUGCUAAACAUAAAUAUGUUUGUCCUCCAUUUAAUCUUUCAGUGUCCAACAGACUGGUUCUCUUCACUGGUAGGGACCCUUUAACACAGAGAAGCAUUUGGAAAUCAAUGGCAAGUCAUUUUCCAAGUGUGGUCGGCAACUUCUGCAAGGUCAUGACGAGUGGUGAAGCAGGGCACUGUCAGCAUCUGUUUCCCAUCAUGCCCAGGAGCAGUGUGGUCAUCGGAGACGUGUUCCUCCAAUCAGUCAUACUUUUUUCAACUAUGCGCCCGUUCUAGAUGAAUUUCAGCCAUACUGUAAACCGGUGCUGAUGUUAAACAUGUCUACUUUGUCUUGAUAUGCAUAUUAUAUUAA